CCUACGGGUGGCUGCAGUGGGGGAUAUUGCACAAUGGGGGAAACCCUGAUGCAGCGAUGCCGCGUGAAUGAAGACGGCCUUCGGGUUGUAAAGUUCUGUCGCAGGGGACGAAAAUGACGGUACCCUCCAAGAAAGCUCCGGCUAACUACGUGCCAGCAGCCGCGGUAAUACGUAGGGAGCAAGCGUUGUCCGGAAUUACUGGGGGUAAAGGGGGCGUAGGUGGGUGGAUAAGUUGAAUGUGAAAUCUAUGGGCUCAACCCAUAACUGCGUUUGAAAAUGUUCGUCUUGAGUGAAGUAGAGGUAGGUGGAAUUCCUGGUGUAGCGGUGAAAUGCGUAGAUAUUAGGAGGAACACCAGUGGCGAAGGCGGCCUGCUGGGCUUUUACUGACGCUGAGGCUCGAAAGCGUGGGUAGCAAACAGGAUUAGAUACCCGAGUAGUC
RNAcentral lists this ribosomal RNA (439 nucleotides) under uncultured bacterium. RNAcentral describes it as "partial 16S ribosomal RNA". It matches the Rfam family "Bacterial small subunit ribosomal RNA", at positions 338 to 795 of the family's 1533-position model. The record is from RNAcentral.